CGUGCCAGCAGCCGCGGUAAUACGGAAGGUCCGGGCGUUAUCCGGAUUUAUUGGGUUUAAAGGGAGCGUAGGCCGGAGAUUAAGCGUGUUGUGAAAUGUAGAUGCUCAACAUCUGCACUGCAGCGCGAACUGGUUUCCUUGAGUACGCACAAAGUGGGCGGAAUUCGUGGUGUAGCGGUGAAAUGCUUAGAUAUCACGAAGAACUCCGAUUGUGAAGGCAGCUCACUGGAGCGCAACUGACGCUGAAGCUCGAAAGUGCGGGUAUCGAACAGGAUUAGAUACCCUGGUAGUCCGCACGGUAAACGAUGGAUGCCCGCUGUUGGUCUGAAUAGGUCAGCGGCCAAGCGAAAGCAUUAAGCAUCCCACCUGUGGAGUACGCCGGCAACGGUGCAACUCAAAUGAAUUGACGGA
RNAcentral lists this ribosomal RNA (411 nucleotides) under uncultured organism. RNAcentral describes it as "bacterial SSU rRNA". It matches the Rfam family "Bacterial small subunit ribosomal RNA", at positions 504 to 917 of the family's 1533-position model. The record is from RNAcentral.